GGGGGAUAUUGCGCAAUGGGGGCAACCCUGACGCAGCAACGCCGCGUGAAGGAUGAAGGUUUUCGGAUUGUAAACUUCUUUUAUUAAGGACGAAAAAUGACGGUACUUAAUGAAUAAGCUCCGGCUAACUACGUGCCAGCAGCCGCGGUAAUACGUAGGGAGCAAGCGUUGUCCGGAUUUACUGGGUGUAAAGGGUGCGUAGGCGGCUUUGCAAGUCAGAUGUGAAAUCUAUGGGCUCAACCCAUAAACUGCAUUUGAAACUGUAGAGCUUGAGUGAAGUAGAGGCAGGCGGAAUUCCCCGUGUAGCGGUGAAAUGCGUAGAGAUGGGGAGGAACACCAGUGGCGAAGGCGGCCUGCUGGGCUUUAACUGACGCUGAGGCACGAAAGCGUGGGUAGCAAACAGGAUUAGAUACCCUGGUAGUCCACGCUGUAAACGAUGAUUACUAGGUGUGGGGGGUCUGACCCCUUCCGUGCCGGAGUUAACACAAUAAGUAAUCCACCUGGGGAGUACGGCCGCAAGGUUGAAACUCAAAGGAAUUGACGGGGGCCCGCACAAGCAGUGGAGUAUGUGGUUUAAUUCGAAGCAACGCGAAGAACCUUACCAGGUCUUGACAUCCAACUAACGAAGUAGAGAUACAUUAGGUGCCCUUCGGGGAAAGUUGAGACAGGUGGUGCAUGGUUGUCGUCAGCUCGUGUCGUGAGAUGUUGGGUUAAGUCCCGCAACGAGCGCAACCCUUGCUAUUAGUUGCUACGCAAGAGCACUCUAAUAGGACUGCCGUUGACAAAACGGAGGAAGGUGGGGACGACGUCAAAUCAUCAUGCCCCUUAUGACCUGGGCUACACACGUACUACAAUGGAUGUUAACAGAGGGAAGCAAGACAGCGAUGUGGAGCAAACCCCUAAAAACAUUCUCAGUUCAGAUUGCAGGCUGCAACCCGCCUGCAUGAAGAUGGAAUUGCUAGUAAUCGCGGAUCAGCAUACCGCGGUGAAUACGUUCCCG
This 1000-nucleotide ribosomal RNA is filed under the name uncultured bacterium. RNAcentral's name for it is "bacterial SSU rRNA". It matches the Rfam family "Bacterial small subunit ribosomal RNA", at positions 356 to 1376 of the family's 1533-position model. The record is from RNAcentral. RNAcentral also lists the same sequence under 1 other name.